RNAcentral lists this unclassified non-coding RNA (3291 nucleotides) under Hermetia illucens (black soldier fly). RNAcentral describes it as "transcription factor Sp4-like, transcript variant X6". The record is from RNAcentral. Lineage: Eukaryota; Metazoa; Arthropoda; Insecta; Diptera; Stratiomyidae.
CCCGCGACGAGCAACAGAAACCUCUUCAACUGCCUCCUCGGGUGUAAACUGGUAACGAACGGAGCCGACCUGGGCAGGAGGUAGUGAAAUAGUGCGUGGCGUCCCCUUUUCCAGCAGGCGUAGGGCACAGGCGAAGUCAUCGAACGAGAAAACCUUUUCCCUGUACUCGCCGCCCGACGGCCGUGUGGGAGCGAACGGAACGGCGCGAUGGGCUGUCUCGGUCGCGCUCAGGGGACGUGGUGUCGACUGGGCCGUCAGCAAAUGCUCGAGUCGCUCUGCCACACACAAACGAAUGGGACCAGCCCAGGCUGCGUGUUGUGUGCUUUAGAGGGAAGCGUUACGCGUGAUUUUUUCCGGAAUAAUUAACGCAAAAUUUGCAGCUUUCGCGUGAAAUUAAGUUUGUGAUUGCAAAGGUGCGUGCCCCGUGCGUUUGGCGGCAAAGUGAAAAGCGAGUGGGCCCGGGUGCAAGUGCCUUUUCCGCGACGAGUGCUGCGCUUUCUUUUGUUUUUCUUUGUAUCGAUCUCGGUGGCGACGACGGCCGUCGUUUCGUGGCGUAUUUGCGGCGCUGGUAGGCGCGAGCGGGGCGGCAGGCGGCGAGUGGAGCCAGUGGAGCCGUGUUACGUAAAGCAGUGAAGGACCCCGAGGCUGCCGUGGAAUAUGCACCGCACGAGAAGCGGCCAAUUUCCCGGCUAAAUUCCAAGGAAGUGAACUCAAUGCUGCUAUUAUGGCAGCAUCACAACCACAAACGAGUACAACAGCACAUAUCCAAAAUCAAACAAAUAGUCAACCCCAAGUUAUUACCCUACAACAAUUGCAAAGUUUUUUACCACAGCAAAUGGGGACGAUUUCGACGGAUGGAGCUCAAGUUUCGGCUGCAUCGGCGACAAAUGCCACGCCGGUGAAAACAUUUGUGGCAAAUCCACAAAUGCCUCAACAACAAAUAUUGAAUUUACAAAAUUUACAGGGAAUUCCACACCAAUUUGUGCAGGGUGGACAACUCAUUCAAAAUCCUGGAAAUGGUAUGCUGUCUGUAGUUCAGCCUCUGCAAACAGUUACAGUUGAUGGACAGGAGGCGUUGUUUAUACCAAACGUGGGCAAUGCACAAUUUGCUGGUGCUCAGGCUGUUCAGAUUAAUGGACAACAGUGCAUUCUCACACCCAACGGUCAAAUUAUAAGGGCACCACCUGCCGGAGUGUUGCCUGCACAUCUUCUCCAGAAUAUGGGCCAAACAGUUCAAUUGCCUAACGCUGCUUCUGGUCAAGCCACGAUAACAAUUCCCGGAACGAACAUAACAAUUCCUAUAGGAACAGCAACAUCGGUGACAAAUGCCGCGGCAACUGCCACUACAGCACUAGCAAGUGCUAAUGCACAAUCGACAACACAGAAUCAACAGCAGCAGCAGCAACAACAACAACAGCAUCAAACGCAACAACAAAAUCAACAACAGUCACAAAAUCAACAACAGAAUCAACAACAACAACAAAAUCAAGCCAAUCAACAACAAACGCAACAACAACAAACAGCACAGCAAACUACGAUAACGAUACCAGGAACAAAUAUACAGAUUCCAACGUCAGUUGCUGCUGCCAAUGGUUUACUGGGGAAUGCAUUUCAAACUAGUAAUUUUGCUGGGAUUAAACUUGAUGGUCAAAAUAUACAAGUUCGACCAAAUGGAGCUCUUCCACAUGUAGUACAAUUUCCAAUGACGCAAACAGUUCCAGUACAGGUGCCAAUUAAUGCAGGAAAUGGUCAAACAGUUUACCAAACUGUUCAUGUGCCACUUCAAGCAUUUGCUGCAACAAUGCCUGGACUUAUUCAGCCACAGAUGCAGAUAAUACCACAAUUUACCCAGGUAGCGAAUAUAAUAACACCAACUGGUCAAAUUCAACAAGUUCAGCUGGCACCAAUUAAUCCCAUGGCAUUGCAUGCCGCCCAAACAGCGGCUACACCUUCAAAUGUGAUAUUGCAGCAAGCUGCACCGAAUCUAGCUUCAGUGACGAAUUCACAGAAUGCGGCGUCAUCAACUUCACUGAGCAAUGUCACCUCGUCCAAUGUUCAAGCUGUUGCCGGAGGUCAAGAAGGAACUCAAGCACAACCGAUAACCAUUACAAAUGCCCAGGGGCAACAAAUUACUGUGAUUCCAACGCAGGCUUUACAUCAAUUUCGACCUGCAAAUGCUGCAAAUAUAAUCCAGAUGCCUAACAUACCGGGUUUACAGGCGAUCCCUGUGCAAAAUAUUCCUGGAUUAGGUAAUGUGCAGGUGAUACAAGCUAAUGGCGUUAAUGUUGGACAAAAUUUGACAACGCAAUCUAGUACGCCGACAGCAACGACCAAUAAUCCUGCGAUAACUGCUUCCACUACGCCCAUAUCAAUAACUCCACAAAUAACCACGAUAAAAACCGAGCCUACCGAAAUCAAAUGGCUAAUGCAUAGUCCUGGCACGAAUGCAACUGCUGCCGCACCACAAGCUCAGACUCAGCACCAGCAACAGCAGCAUCAGCAACAACAACAGCAGACUCAUCAGCAACAGCAGCAGCAACAACAAGCCCAACAUCAGCAAGCUCCACAAUCUACACCCAAUUCUCAACCCCAUCCUGCUUCCCUGGAAUCCGCGGGCCCUGGACCCAUUCAUAUGGCCGCGAGUCAACAACAGUUUGCUCCUACUCAAGCCCAAAAUCAGACCUCGGUGAACGUAAAUAUCAAUGUGAAUGAUGGAAUUGAUGUGAAGCCUAGACUGAAACGAGUUGCAUGCACAUGCCCAAACUGUACGGAAGGAGAGAAACAUUCGGAUCGAAAGAAACAGCACAUUUGUCAUAUUCCUGGAUGCAACAAGGUGAGCGACCAUUUGUGUGCUCAUGGUUGUUCUGUGGUAAGCGCUUCACAAGAUCCGAUGAAUUGCAACGACAUCGUCGGACUCAUACCGGCGAAAAACGUUUCCAAUGCAGCGAGUGUAACAAGAAAUUUAUGCGCAGCGACCACUUGUCCAAGCACAUCAAGACUCACAACAAACCAAGAAAUAAUUUUGAUUCAAUGGUCGAGAUGAAAAAUGAAAUGGAAAUGAAAGUUGAUGGUAAUAGGCUUGUAAUGGGAUCGAAAAUGGAGGGUUCAGAAGAGGCGGAAACUGAUGAUAGUACAGUUGUACUCGAAGUCACAACGGGAAAUGCUGAAGGAAAUGUUACUUCUGCCGCGUCGACACCGAUGCAUUCAAAUAAUUCUUUAAUUUGGGUGUCGCCGGCUUUGCAUCAGCACAACCAAUCGUCGCCGUCCACUCCACCGCCUCCGCCACCGCUC